CCUACGGGAGGCAGCAGUGAGGAAUAUUGGUCAAUGGGCGGGAGCCUGAACCAGCCAAGUCGCGUGAAGGAAGAAGGUACUUAGUAUUGUAAACUUCUUUUGUCGGGGAACAAAGGCGGAGACGCGUCUCCGGAUGAGUGUACCCGAAGAAAAAGCAUCGGCUAACUCCGUGCCAGCAGCCGCGGUAAUACGGAGGAUGCGAGCGUUAUCCGGAUUUAUUGGGUUUAAAGGGUGCGCAGGCGGGAGAUCAAGUCAGCGGUAAAAUGUCGGGGCUCAACCCCGGCCGGCCGUUGAAACUGGUUGUCUAGAGUUGGAGAGAAGUAUGCGGAAUUCGUGGUGUAGCGGUGAAAUGCAUAGAUAUCACGAAGAACUCCGAUUGCGAAGGCAGCAUACCGGCUCCAGACUGACGCUGCGGCACGAAAGCGUGGGGAUCGAACAGGAUUAGAUACCCCAGUAGUC
This 459-nucleotide ribosomal RNA is filed under the name uncultured bacterium. Its description in RNAcentral is "partial 16S ribosomal RNA". It matches the Rfam family "Bacterial small subunit ribosomal RNA", at positions 338 to 795 of the family's 1533-position model. The record is from RNAcentral.